RNAcentral lists this ribosomal RNA (255 nucleotides) under uncultured bacterium. RNAcentral's name for it is "partial 16S ribosomal RNA". It matches the Rfam family "Bacterial small subunit ribosomal RNA", at positions 524 to 776 of the family's 1533-position model. The record is from RNAcentral.
UACAGAGGGUGCAAGCGUUAAUCGGAUUUACUGGGCGUAAAGCGUGCGUAGGCGGUUCGCUAAGUCGGUUGUGAAAUCCCUGGGCUUAACCUGGGAACUGCAGUCGAUACUGGCGGACUAGAGUACGGUAGAGGGUGGCGGAACUCCGGGUGUAGCGGUAGAAAUGCGUAGAUAUUCGCAAGAACACCAGUGGCGAAGGCGGCUCACUGGCCCGAUACUGACGCUGAGGCACGGAAAGCGUGGGGAGCAAACAGG